AGACUACUCCCUCCGAUUGGAAUUAAUUGUCUCGUAAAUGGAUGUAUCUAGAACUAAAAUACGUUUAGAUAUAUCCAAUUUCCGCGACAAGUAAUUUCGAACGGAGGGAGUACAUA
This is a non-coding RNA of Triticum aestivum (bread wheat), 116 nucleotides long. The record is from Rfam. NCBI's taxonomy places the organism in Eukaryota, Viridiplantae, Streptophyta, Magnoliopsida, Poales, Poaceae.